Molecule: ribosomal RNA, 497 nt
Filed under: uncultured bacterium
Lineage: Bacteria
Description: partial 16S ribosomal RNA
Rfam family: Bacterial small subunit ribosomal RNA
Source: RNAcentral
GAUGAACGCUGGCGGCGUGCCUAAUACAUGCAAGUCGAGCGAACGGACGAGAAGCUUGCUUCUCUGAUGUUAGUGGCGGACGGGUGAGUAAAACGUGGAUAACCUACCUAUAAGACUGGGAUAACUUCGGGAAACCGUAGCUAAUACCGGAUAAUAUUUUGAACCGCAUGGUUCAAAAGUGAAAGACGGUCUUGCUGUCACUUAUAGAUGGAUCCGCGCUGCAUUAGCUAGUUGGUAAGGUAACGGCUUACCAAGGCAACGAUGCAUAGCCGACCUGAGAGGGUGAUCGGCCACACUGGAACUGAGACACGGUCCAGACUCCUACGGGAGGCAGCAGUAGGGAAUCUUCCGCAAUGGGCGAAAGCCUGACGGAGCAACGCCGCGUGAGUGAAGAAGGUCUUCGGAUCGUAAAACUCUGUUAUUAGGGAAGAACAUAUGUGUAAGUAACUGUGCACAUCUUGACGGUACCUAAUCAGAAAGCCACGGCUAACUACGUG